UCAUUUUCUUGGUGUUUCUGCUUCCUGCUGCCCCAUCCUUUCCUGGUCCCCUGCUCCCUAUGGAGGUGGAGCCUCCAGACCUUUGAGGAUGCAGCUGUUUUCUCUUCCCUCUAAUGCUGGUACUACAAAGGGAAUUUUGCCUGCUAACAUGAGUGUUUGAUCCGAUCUAUUUGGCAGCAAAAUCUAUGCUUCUCAAGGGCCAGAUUAUUUCUCUGCUGUUACUAUUUAGGACAAACAAAAGGUUACUGUCCAAAUUCUCA
This is a long non-coding RNA of Monodelphis domestica (gray short-tailed opossum), 260 nucleotides long. RefSeq lists it as uncharacterized. The record is from RefSeq and is a predicted model, not a curated record. NCBI's taxonomy places the organism in Eukaryota, Metazoa, Chordata, Mammalia, Didelphimorphia, Didelphidae.